RNAcentral lists this ribosomal RNA (405 nucleotides) under uncultured bacterium. RNAcentral describes it as "bacterial SSU rRNA". It matches the Rfam family "Bacterial small subunit ribosomal RNA", at positions 355 to 774 of the family's 1533-position model. The record is from RNAcentral.
UGGGGAAUAUUGCACAAUGGGGGAAACCCUGAUGCAGCAACGCCGCGUGAAGGAUGAAGGUUUUCGGAUUGUAAACUUCUUUAGUCAGGGACGAAAAAAAUGACGGUACCUGAAGAAUAAGCCACGGCUAACUACGUGCCAGCAGCCGCGGUAAUACGUAGGUGGCGAGCGUUGUCCGGAAUUACUGGGUGUAAAGGGUGCUCAGGCGGAUUUGUAAGUCAGAGGUGAAAUCUUACAGCUUAACUGUGAAACUGCCUUUGAUACUGCAAGCCUAGAGUAUGGAAGAGAGUGAUGGAAUAUCUGGUGUAGCAGUGAAAUGCGUAGAUAUCAGAUAGAACACCAAUGGCGAAGGCAGUCACUUGGUCCAUUACUGACGCUAAAGCACGAAAGCGUGGGUAGCAAACA